GAGGAUGUGGCUCAGUGGUAGAGUGUGUGCUUAGCAUGUAUGAGGUCCUGGGUUUAAUCCCCAGUACCUCU
Molecule: transfer RNA, 71 nt
Filed under: Camelus bactrianus (Bactrian camel)
Lineage: Eukaryota; Metazoa; Chordata; Mammalia; Artiodactyla; Camelidae
Also listed under: 2 other names
Rfam family: tRNA
About the family: Transfer RNA (tRNA) molecules are approximately 80 nucleotides in length. Their secondary structure includes four short double-helical elements and three loops (D, anti-codon, and T loops). Further hydrogen bonds mediate the characteristic L-shaped molecular structure. tRNAs have two regions of fundamental functional importance: the anti-codon, which is responsible for specific mRNA codon recognition, and the 3' end, to which the tRNAs corresponding amino acid is attached (by aminoacyl-tRNA synthetases). tRNAs cope with the degeneracy of the genetic code in two manners: having more than one tRNA (with a specific anti-codon) for a particular amino acid; and 'wobble' base-pairing, i.e. permitting non-standard base-pairing at the 3rd anti-codon position.
Source: Rfam by way of RNAcentral